GAGAGAGAGUAAUUUUAAUUACGAUGGAUCGCCUUCUCCACGCGCGUUGCAAGGGCCAGUAGGAGGAGGAUGUGCAAGCGGCCGGAGUAGCGGUGGUGACCACUCGAGGAUGCGAUGGCGCCGUCGUCGACCUCGUAUCCUCCGUUGAGUUCUGCAUCGACCGAACGUGUCCCUCAGGCCUAGAUGCAAGUGAUCUGUUCGUGGAGGUGGACUUUAUGGUCCUCUUGAAAGCUGUUUAUGACUUGUGCUUAUAUCUUUCUAGCAGCUGAGGGUGGGAAGUGUAAGGGGUCUGGGUUUUUCGAUUUGACUUACAAGAUUCAGCAAAUUAUGUGAUUGAAAAACGGCAUGGCUCUUUCUCCGAGUAAAAAUUGUAAGAAGCAAUAAUAAGCCAAACGGACUUCCAUUUGAUUGACGAAAAAGCAUACCGAUGGUGAUGCGAUACCCCCAGAUGAAAGUCUUCUUGCAAAGCUAUGCCAACACCAUGAACUUUUCUCUUGUUCUUGACAUCCUUAUUUGUUUUUUACUUUUCCUUUUCAUGUUUUUAGUGGGUUAGUGACCAUAAUUAUUGACUGAACAAAUAUAUGGAUUCUUAAUGCAAGUACUGUAACCCUUGAGAACUAACUAGCUGGAAUGAAGCAAUAUUUGGCAUCAUUAACAUGAAUGCUUUGUUGGAUCCAGUAUAUGGAAGAUAACUGACGGCCAUAGGAAGACCUUUUCCAUAAUUCAGUUACACUGAGAAGUGCUUCCUCUGUCUUGCACGUUCAUGCUAGAUGUUAUAUAUAAUGAACUUAAAUCUCUUAAGGACAAUGAGCAUGUAAUUUGUACUCAGUUACUGGACGUUGUUGAAUUAUCAUACGCCACUCUGCAAUUCCUUCCAUUAUAUUUGAAAAAUGCCUGCAUCUACCACUUUGGAGCAUGGUUUACCUGUUUGAACUCACUGGUGUCUGCUACUAAUCCAUAGGUUCUGUUAUUGUGUCACUACUAGCCUUCUGUAAUUUUUUUUAUUAUACAUUGGUUGACAAGUAGGAACAAAACUGUUUGGUUCUUAAAUUUAUCAAUAAGAGAUUGGACCAGUGCACAUAUGUUUUGUUUUCACUUUCCUUUUCUCAUUUUGCUGUAUGGUCUGUGGACCCUUUAAACAUAAGGGCAAGAGAGACUUCCUUUUGCAACGACCAUGGGAUGUAGACAUAAAAGUGCCAAAUUUAGGCAGUAUUGAAACCUGACAUCUUUUAUUUGAUAAAGUUUAUGAUUGAUAGGUCAUGCUCAUUAGGUACAUUAGAAGCGUAAUGAGUUAAUUUUUUAAGACAAUGCUCUUAUAUUUUUCAUCCCAUACUGAAUUCAAUGGUUCCGUUAUUUUUGUGAACUGCUUCUAUUUUUUUCCACCUUAUUAUCUUAUAGUUGAUUUGUGAACCUGUGUAUUAUGAUCAUCAUAUGAUAGUCUAAAACAUAAAAAAAAUCAGCAUAUAUGGAAAUGAUGUGAUAUUAUGACUUGUAACUUGUUUUCCCAUCCUUGGGCACACUAACCAACUUUGAAAAUCUCAAAUGCAGUUUGAAUGUAAAUUUUGUUGGUUUUAGGCAUCUCGAUUUCUAUUUGGGGCUUGGGAUAACUGUCCUUAAACUCAUGAGUUUUGGUUGUGGGCUGUGAAAACAUUUGUAAUCAAUUCUCUUGUGAUCGCUGUUUUCAGAUUAAUGCUAUAGGUAUCCCCUGGUGAAUUAAAUGAUAAUGACACUGAAGUCUCUGUUGAGCUGAGACCUCUUCUAGUGGAAUCAUGUUAAAGAAACACAUGCUUACAUAGCCAUGAACACCUGAUCAUCAAUGGCCGUCUUACUAUUAUUAACCCUAGACUAGUGUGAGAACUGCCACAAGCACAGGAUUAUGUUUGUCAGGUGAACACCGAUACCUGCAUACUGUAAUAAGAUUGACAUCAUUGUCGAAAUUAUUAUUAGGCUAAGGGUUUACAUAACCCAUGAACAGGGAGGUAAAAACAGUUUAGUUAAAUAAAUUUCAUUUACAAUCAUGGCAUCUUACGAUGCUUCGUAUCAUGUUUAGAUGGAUUGCAAGUCAUGGUGACAUUUGGUCGUUGGCCACAACUCGCAGACCAUGUAUAUCUAGAAUGACGGCAAUUAUCUCAGAGUUUGCGGUUUCAAGAAAGGCCACAAGGUUAAGAAUCGAAGGGAGGCACUGUGAGUUUGCUGUUUGAUGACAUAAAUUCCUCAAAUUCUUGUAGAUUUGUGUCUGUUGGAAGCCGAAUCCUUGAAUUUGUGGAGCAUAUAAGACCAUUCCUGGGCUGGCAAAUUAGACCUGUGCAUUUUGUCUCCCAAAAAAAAAAAAAAAAGAUUAAUCCAGACCAUAUUUUUGUAAAAUCUGUUUUGCGAAAGAAGAAAAAAAAUCACUUGGUCAGAAAUAUAUUUUGCAAAAGGAAAAGGGGAAAUGGAGGAAGCCUACCUACAUUGGAAGAUUGAACCUCUUUAUUCAUGCCCCGACAAGAAUGCUUGCAAAGGAAAGACAAACUACUACUGCUCUCCUAUGUGUGCAUCAUCAAUAGCGCUUCAGCGUUCUGUUACUUUUUUUUAUUUUUUGCUUGUUUUCCUUCUCUCUUUUCUGCGUCCUCGAUGGAUUGCUCGAGAAAGAGAAGACAUGGAUGCAUGACAACUCUGGGAAAUCGCUCUGACUUUUGUGUGUUUUCCUCUCUUAUUCUUCUCUCUUUUCUUGACAGGGAACCACGCUGCCUUGGACCCCGGCACCGACAGCGACGGGAAGGCCGGAGGCAGACGGGGACGGUGUGGUCGCCAUCAUCAACCCGUGGUGUGGGAAGCGAGGCGGAGGAGGAGGAGGAGCUGCCUGCCUGCCUUGUGCAUGCCCCCCUAUCUCUUUUCUCUCUCUCUCUCUCUCUCUCUCACAGCCCCACCCAGGACAACAAGCAUGGGACGCCGAGCCCGGGCAGCUCCCAAUCAUAAAGCAAUGGAGUGCCAUAUCAUUUCCUCCCCACCUCGGUCCUCGCGCUCCUGCUCUGGACCCCCCCCCCCCCCCCCCCCACUCCCCCGAGGGAUGGGCUGACCUGAGCCUACUGUUCCCUCUCGCGCUCCUCAUGCGUCCCUUUCCAUGCUGUUUCUUUUCGUCCCCACCCCCCUUACUCUCUUAAUCUCCUUAAUUUUGGAUUUCUCUUUGGUUUUGCUGCAUUGGCAUAUGAAAUCCUUCACGUCCAUGUUUGUUUGAUGCGGUCCACUUGAAAGCCCUUCGGAUGUAGUGUUCCGACUUCCACGUCUUCAGCUUGAGAGCCAAUUCAUUUCUUCUUCGCCUUGUAACAUUCUGUACGUGAACCACUAGUGCCACCCGCCCCCUACUCCCGACUGACAGAAAAUAAUAAUAAUAAUAAAUAAUAUGUUGGGGGAUUUUGUUUCCAGGACAAAUCACAAUCGAGGUUUCAAUUCUUCCAUGCAAUGAAUAGGAGGAGUCUGAAUCACCGCAGAGGUGCAGGAACCAAAGCCUUGCGUUCCCAAAACGCAGCUGCACCGGAGAGGGAAAUGGUCAACGAGCCUUCUCUGACCUCUGUUACACCAUUUUGACGAGGACAUCACCUACACUAUGGAUAGGCCACCAUGCCCCGUGUUGACCAAGGAGCCUCCCAACGUUGACUCGGGCCCACCACACAGAAUAAGAGAGAGAGAGAGAGAGAGCACAGUGGUCUAUGGAGGGGAGUCAUGGGGAAGAGCUACAGCACGGCAAAGGACUGGUGAAUGCAAGGGAUCGAAGAGGGGUCACCUCAAUGGGCCCCCCCCCCCCUCGGGCCGACAGGCUCUGAUGCAUCCCUCCAUAGCGUCAACACCAAGGACGGGCGGACGGACUGGACUGGACUGGACUGGACUGACCACACGCUGCUGUCGCUCUCACCCUCUCUUCCUCGUCUUUGCCGCCAGCGAAGAAAGAGGGGGAGAAGCAUGAGAAGCCGAGAGUGAAAAAAAAAAAAAAAGGCAGGAGGUUUGGAACCUUACGAGCGAACGCAGAUAUCAUCAUGUGACAAUCAUUCUUUUAUAAUUUGAGCUCUACAGGUCCGGGAGGGAAGUAAAAGAAAAGGUUUUGCUUUUCUUUUGAGGCCACCAGCAGGAGUGUCAGUAAAAGAAAAGAAGAGAGAGAGAGAGAGAGAGAAAUAAUCUCAAGUCUUAAAAGCUAUACAAAUGCUGAUGUACGAUGACCUCUGAAAAGAGGUCUUUUAUCAUCCACCUGCUCUCCUCCUAAAGGAACAAAAGGUGGCUCAGGCUACUACUGUAAGAUGUCAUGUAUCCACCAUAUAUGUGUAGAGGUGAGACCACUGGGACGCAAUUUGAUUACAGAAGGAGCUGCAUAUAUCAUUAGUUUAUUGCUUCUAACAUCAUCACCCGAGUCGAUGAUGGGUGGAUCAUGUACAAGUACAGAGUUGCCUGUUGGACCAUGUAAGCUGGCCUCAACAAAACAAAUCGUGCAUGCAUGCAUGCAUGCAGUGGUCGUACAGUAACAGUCUAAAAGAAGACAAAGAAUCCAUAAAACAUCCUUCUGUUUUUAUGUUUGUAGUUUAGCAACUUGGAAGCCAUGACAUGGGAAUUAGCAUCUUGUGACUCGCACAGCAAAGCGUUUUGUACGAUUGCUUCUCUGUAGGAUUUGAUGCAGCUGCAGAAAGUAAUUUGUUCUCUAUGUAUGUAUGUAUGUAUGUAUGUAUGUAUUCGAGUAAUGAAUGAUGAUCAC
Musa acuminata AAA Group (dessert banana) is the source of this 4720-nucleotide long non-coding RNA. RefSeq lists it as uncharacterized. NCBI's taxonomy places the organism in Eukaryota, Viridiplantae, Streptophyta, Magnoliopsida, Zingiberales, Musaceae. The record is from RefSeq and is a predicted model, not a curated record. The transcript has 7 exons.